Hypanus sabinus (Atlantic stingray) is the source of this 1335-nucleotide long non-coding RNA. RefSeq lists it as uncharacterized. Lineage: Eukaryota; Metazoa; Chordata; Chondrichthyes; Myliobatiformes; Dasyatidae. The record is from RefSeq and is a predicted model, not a curated record. The transcript is spliced from 3 exons.
GUCAAAAUGAACGUGUGUGCGGAAGGCCAAACUGGUACAUUUUGCCUACCGAUUAGCUGUUAAAGUGAUUUCUGCACAACGUAUUGGGAACUAUAUGUCAAUACACAGAGGAUCUGUUACUCAUCAGGGAAUUUUCAGUGACAAACACCCAGAUGAGGGAGGAGACGAGUGAACCAGCGUGAAGGAGAAACCAACUUGACACCCAUCACUGAUCUACGCAUCUCAUAUAAUGAUGAUCCAAAUGAGGUUGACAGCUGGCUGACGUUAUUUUUGGUUUGCUGCUGGUGGCAAAUUUAAGUUUGGCGUUUUUCAUAAAUACAAGAAGGACUCAAAUAGACGUUGAGUAUUUUACUUAAAAGUAACCUUCAACCCAACGUCUUUUUUUCGGAGUUCAAAAUGUUUUUGUUGCAUGCAGAAAUGUAAUUUUGUUUUCUCUGCAGGAGUUCAUCAAUUUCAUAAAUGCAACACAUUAUAGUUUGUUUAUACAUAGCAUAAAGGCAAAACAAAACGUUGUAUGCAGUGUUAUUUCAUUUUAAAUGUCAAACGGGUUUUGCGGCUCCCAGUGUUUUCUUUUCUGUGGGAAACGGGUCCAAGUGGCUCUUUCAGUGGUAAAGGUUGCUGACCCCUGGCCUAGACUGCUUCCCGUCCCGUCCUUGGGUUCCGUCUCCUCCUUUUUCUGGGACUGUGUCCUGCAGUUGGGUCCUGAUUCAACACCCGACUUAUGGCAAGACCUGUGUUCCCCUCACCUCACUAUGACUAGAAACAAAAGGAGAUGGGGUAAAAACAGAAAACACUGGGCAGACCUGACAGAGUGGGCGGAGAAUGAAACAGAGCAUUGCCCACCCCAGCUGCUUUCAAAUUGAUUUUGCUAACCUUACUAGUUUUCUGUGUCAACUACACAUAGGCUAAGCAAAGGAGGGAAAGCUGGCUUCCCCCCUUCAGUUAAUUCCUUUUUUUUUUGAAGUGUCCCCUUAAGAAUGAGUGAAACUAAUUGAGUGCCAGAUCACUCCAGUGAUCUUUUGGAGUGAACUCUGCUUCUUGGAUAACAAAAGCAGUAAGUGAUGUGAGCAGGAAAUUAACAUCAGACAUCUGUAUGCUAUUCAUUACAGGGUUUGCAUCACUCUUUUGGUUAAAGGAAUUGUUGAAAUAUCUUGCUGAUUAACUUUUCCUGGGUGAUUCCAGACAAUGUUCUCAUUUCCACAAGAGAUUAAAACAUUGGCUGAUACUGCAAUCCCCCAGAUCCUCUAUCAACUGCAGCCAAAAUGGCUUUCCGCUAAUCAGAUGGUAGGGAAAGAAUUCUGUGAUUUUUUUUUUUGCCCUGAAUAAGCCAUUCUC